Molecule: long non-coding RNA, 1831 nt
Organism: Serinus canaria (Common canary)
Lineage: Eukaryota; Metazoa; Chordata; Aves; Passeriformes; Fringillidae
Source: Ensembl
CUCGAGGCAGGCGGUGGUGGCCGGGGUGCAAUCCCCGCUCCGGCCAGGCUCUUCUCCUCCCUCCUGGGCGGGGAGAGUGGUCAGGAGAUAAAAGGGGGACCAGGGCCAGCUGGAAGCUGCUGAAAGCUGCUGGGGCCCGGAGCGAGGGAGGACGGCAGCGAGGAGAAGCGCGGUAUCGAGGGCUCGUUCUCGCGGGCCGGGGUCCAGGAUGGGGCUGCUGGUGCUGGCCCUGGCCACCUGGCUGGGGUUUGGGCUGGCCUCGGCCUCCGAGGAGACGGCCAACAGCAGCCGGAUCUGCCAGGAGGCGCCGGCAUGGACCAUCAAUGGCUCGAGCCCCAUGGAGGGGGCGGCAGGGCAGGUGACGGUGGUGGCCCUGCUGAAGGCCAGCUGACAGUUCUGCCUGAGGCAGGCCCACAGGUGAGCCCCGCUCCCCCUCCCCACAGCNNNNNNNNNNNNNNNNNNNNGGGGCCUGCGGGAGCGGCUGGCCCGGCAGGGCACGGCCCAUGUCCGCUACAUGAUCGUCAACGAGAAGGCGCCGCUGUCCCGCGCCAUGCUGCCGGAGCUGCAGCGCCACGCCCCGCCCGGCGUCCCCGUCCUCCAGCCCGAGCAGGAGGACCCUGACGUCUGGCAGGUCCUGGGGGGUGACAAGGACGACUUCCUUGUUUAUGACCGGUGUGGCCGCCUGGCUUUCCACAUCCAGUUGCCCUUCAGCUUCCUCCACUUCCCCUAUGUGGAAGCAGCCAUCCGCUCCAGCCACAUCAAGGACUUCUGUGGCAACUGCUCCCUCUACCCCAAUGCUACCCAGGAGGCUAACAGCACCAUGGAGGGCCCUGCAACCCCGAGCUCCCUUCCUGAACAUGAGGGGAUGGAGUCAGAGACUCCCGUCCACCAGCACAAGCCCCUCCAUCCUCACCACCAUCACGAGGUCAACAGUGAGAGAGACACAAACCCAAGUGAGGACCACAAACCUGCUACCCAUGCUCACCACCACCAUGGAGACCAUGGCCAGCUCCAUCACAAGGGGAAGAAGCAGAAGGAGGGGGAUGAGCACUAAACUAGGCUGGGCAGCCUUGCAGAACCCAGUAGUGUGCAGACAACCCCAACUCCCUUCACAGAGGCAUGGAAGGACUUGUUUUGGGCUGCUGGCCACCAGCAGCGCUGGUUUAAUAACUCCCUCCAGCAAACCCAUGUGGGUUGCCCUCCUACGCUGUGAUAAGGAUGGGAAUUCCCCUUGGACUCUGCUCAGUGCUGCAUUUUCAGCCCCAGAGCUCAGUUCUGAGCCUUCACCUGCCACUGCCUGCUUUUCUGUGCUCAAUGAAGCCUGCUGUGCAAACCAGGAGGUCCCUGGUCACUGCUGGCUGACACUGCACAGAGCGGCAGGGCGGGGUGGAGGGGCCAGAGCUGGGAUGGGAGCAGCACUGCUGUCAUCCUCUGCCCAUCCAGACAUUCCUGGGUGUGCUGGAAUCCCUGGGUUUCCUGGCCAGGAAACGAGGGGAGGGACAGCGUGUGCCCCGCAGGACAUGGUCCCAGGGGACUGAGGGCACGAGGAGCGGUGGGAUGUCGCAGCUCCCCACGGUCCAAAGCCUGUCCCCCCCGGGCUGUGCCGUCCUGGGCGCCCCGCAGACCGUGCGCACGGGUAUGUGCAGUGGUGCUGGGUGGCCGCAAGAUGGUGGCCUUGUCCCCUCCUGGAGACCAGGGGCUGGAUCCAAUGGGCGCAGCUCGGGGAGGACAGGGUGAGGAUCAUGAGGUCUUUGCUGGGGGUAAGCGAGGUGGGAGGGCAGCGUGGGUAUCCGGAGUGCGAAUAAAACCUCUGUGAAGUGACCGCCUCUCA